UAUCGCGAUACGCCUGUAGCUCGAUGG
RNAcentral lists this small RNA (27 nucleotides) under Bombyx mori (domestic silkworm). RNAcentral describes it as "ovarian small RNA-23664". Lineage: Eukaryota; Metazoa; Arthropoda; Insecta; Lepidoptera; Bombycidae. The record is from RNAcentral.